This 780-nucleotide ribosomal RNA is filed under the name uncultured Neocallimastigales. RNAcentral's name for it is "partial large subunit ribosomal RNA". It matches the Rfam family "Eukaryotic large subunit ribosomal RNA", at positions 24 to 635 of the family's 3401-position model. The record is from RNAcentral. Lineage: Eukaryota; Fungi; Neocallimastigomycota; Neocallimastigomycetes; Neocallimastigales.
CACGCAUGACACACUGCAUAUCAAUAAGCGGAGGAAAAGAAACUAACUAGGAUUCCCUCAGUAACGGCGAGUGAAGCGGGAAGAGCUCAAAUUUGAAAUCUUCAAGGUUCUACCUUGACGAAUUGUAGUUUAAAGAAGUGUUUUCUGUUGGAGUUUUGGUAAAAGUUCUUUGGAAUAGGACAUCAUAGAGGGUGAGAAUCCCGUAUUUGACCAUUAUUUCCAACUUUGUGAUACACUUUCAAAGAGUCGGAUUGUUUGGGAAUGCAGUCCAAAAUGGGUGGUAAAUUUCAUCUAAAGCUAAAUAUUGGCGAGAGACCGAUAGCGAACAAGUACCGUGAGGGAAAGAUGAAAAGAACUUUGAAAAGAGAGUUAAACAGUACGUGAAAUUGUCAAAAGGGAAGCGUUUGACACCAGUGUUGUUUUCUCGAAAAUCAAUUAAAAAUGGUGGGAUGUUGUGUUGUAUUGACUUUAUCAGCUUUCUGCACUUUUUUUCCUAUCUUUUUUAAUGCACUUUUCGUUUAACAAGUCAACAUCAAUUUCUUUUGUUGUAAAAGAGUCAUUGGAAGGUGGCUUUCAUUUCGGAUGAAAGUGUUUAUAGCCUUUGAUCUCUGCAAUCGGAGAGACUCGAGGUCUGCAGCGUAGAUCCUUCGGGGUUAGAUACAUUUGUGCUAAGUUAUAAGCCUUUUCAUAGACAGCUUGUUGACUAUGAUUUAGUCAUGUAGCUUACUCGCUUAUGUCUAUUUUACCUACGCUUAGGAUGUUGAAGAUGUAGCACAUCAU